UACAGAGGUGGCAAGCGUUGUUCGGAAUUACUGGGCGUAAAGGGCGCGUAGGCGGCCUUCUCAGUCAGACGUGAAAUCCCCAGGCUUAACUUGGGAACUGCGUCUGAUACUGGAAGGCUUGAGUGCGGGAGAGGGAUGUGGAAUUCCAGGUGUAGCGGUGAAAUGCGUAGAUAUCUGGAGGAACACCGGUGGCGAAGGCGGCAUCCUGGACCGGCAUUGACGCUGAGGCGCGAAAGCCAGGGGAGCAAACGGG
RNAcentral lists this ribosomal RNA (253 nucleotides) under uncultured bacterium. RNAcentral's name for it is "partial 16S ribosomal RNA". It matches the Rfam family "Bacterial small subunit ribosomal RNA", at positions 524 to 776 of the family's 1533-position model. The record is from RNAcentral.